Molecule: ribosomal RNA, 501 nt
Filed under: uncultured bacterium
Lineage: Bacteria
Description: partial 16S ribosomal RNA
Rfam family: Bacterial small subunit ribosomal RNA
Source: RNAcentral
AUUGAACGCUGGCGGCAGGCUUAACACAUGCAAGUCGAGCGGGGGAAGGUAGCUUGCUACCGGACCUAGCGGCGGACGGGUGAGUAAUGCUUAGGAAUCUGCCUAUUAGUGGGGGACAACAUCUCGAAAGGGAUGCUAAUACCGCAUACGUCCUACGGGAGAAAGCAGGGGAUCUUCGGACCUUGCGCUAAUAGAUGAGCCUAAGUCGGAUUAGCUAGUUGGUGGGGUAAAGGCCUACCAAGGCGACGAGCUGUAGCGGGUCGGAGAGGAUGAUCCGCAACACUGGGACUGGGACACGGCACAGACUCCUACGGGAGGCAGCAGUGGGGAAUAUUGGACAAUGGGGGGAACCCUGAUCCAGCCAUGCCGCGUGUGUGAAGAAGGCCUUAUGGUUGUAAAGCACUUUAAGCGAGGAGGAGGCUACUCUAGUUAAUACCUAGGGAUAGUGGACGUUACUCGCAGAAUAAGCACCGGCUAACUCUGUGCCAGCCGCCGCCGUAA